This is a non-coding RNA of Culex pipiens (northern house mosquito), 72 nucleotides long. Lineage: Eukaryota; Metazoa; Arthropoda; Insecta; Diptera; Culicidae. The record is from Rfam.
GGAACCGUGGUGUAGGGGUAAUCGUAAUUGCCUCUCACCCAGUCGGCCUGGGUUCGAUCCCAGACGGUCCCG